This 390-nucleotide small RNA is filed under the name Pan troglodytes (chimpanzee). RNAcentral's name for it is "processed transcript". Lineage: Eukaryota; Metazoa; Chordata; Mammalia; Primates; Hominidae. The record is from RNAcentral.
GAGCCUGGUGAAAAAAUAUCUGCCCAAGAGACCUGCCAAGGAUGAUCCUGAGUCCAAAUUCAGCCAGCAACAGUCCUUCGUACAGAUUCUCCAGGAGGUGAAUGACUUUGCAGGCCAGCGGGAGCUGGUGGCUGAGAACCUCAGUGUCCGUGUAUGUCUUGAGCUGACCAAGUACUCACAAGAGAUGAAACAGGAGAGGAAGAUGGUGAGGAGCCCCCCGAUUCAGGUUUUACAAAGGGCUUCUGCUGGAACCCUGGCGAGCCUUAUCACUCUUCUUUCUGUAGCACUUCCAAGAAGGGCGGCGGGCCCAGCAGCAGCUGGAAAAUGGCUUUAAACAGCUGGAGAAUGCUUCCAGUACUCCCUUGUCCCCUACUUACUGGAUGACAUCCC